GCGCGAAACCUCCGCAAUGUGAGAAAUCGCGACGGGGGGACCCCAAGUGCCAUUCUUAACGGGAUGGCUUUUCUUAAGUGUAAAAAGCUUUUGGAAUAAGAGCUGGGCAAGACCGGUGCCAGCCGCCGCGGUAACACCGGCAGCUCUAGUGGUGGCCAGUUUUAUUGGGCCUAAAGCGUUCGUAGCCGGUUUAUUAAGUCUCUGGUGAAAUCCCGUAGCUUAACUAUGGGAAUUGCUGGAGAUACUAGUAGACUUGAGGUCGGGAGAGGUUAGAGGUACUCCCAGGGUAGGGGUGAAAUCCUGUAAUCCUGGGAGGACCACCUGUGGCGAAGGCGUCUAACUGGAACGAACCUGACGGUGAGGGACGAAAGCUAGGGGCGCGAACCGGAUUAGAUACCCGGGUAGUCCUAGCCGUAAACGAUGCGGACUUGGUGUUAGGAUGGCUUUGAGCCGCUCUAGUGCCGAAGGGAAGCUGUUAAGUCCGCCGCCUGGGAAGUACGGUCGCAAGACUGAAACUUAAAGGAAUUGGCGGGGAGCACCACAACGCGUGGAGCCUGCGGUUU
Molecule: ribosomal RNA, 563 nt
Filed under: uncultured Methanobrevibacter sp.
Lineage: Archaea; Methanobacteriati; Methanobacteriota; Methanobacteria; Methanobacteriales; Methanobacteriaceae
Description: bacterial SSU rRNA
Rfam family: Archaeal small subunit ribosomal RNA
Source: RNAcentral